AGAGUUUGAUCAUGGCUCAGGAUGAACGCUGGCGGUAUGCCUAACACAUGCAAGUCGAACGGUCCUUAGGGACAGUGGCGGACGGGUGAGUAACGCGUAAGAAUCUGCCUCUAGGUCGGGGACAACAGCGGGAAACUGCUGCUAAUACCCGAUGUGCCGGAAGGUGAAAGGAAUCCGCCUGGAGAGGAGCUUGCGUCUGAUUAGCUAGUUGGAGAGGUAAAGGCUCACCAAGGCGACGAUCAGUAGCUGGUCUGAGAGGAUGAGCAGCCACACUGGGACUGAGACACGGCCCAGACUCCUACGGGAGGCAGCAGUGGGGAAUUUUCCGCAAUGGGCGAAAGCCUGACGGAGCAAUACCGCGUGAGGGACGAAGGUCUAAUGAUUGUAAACCUCUUUUCUCAGGGAAGAAGCAAUGACGGUACCUGAGGAAUAAGCAUCGGCUAACUCCGUGCCAGCCGCCGCGGUAAUUC
This 470-nucleotide ribosomal RNA is filed under the name uncultured bacterium. Its description in RNAcentral is "bacterial SSU rRNA". It matches the Rfam family "Bacterial small subunit ribosomal RNA", at positions 8 to 526 of the family's 1533-position model. The record is from RNAcentral.